Pocillopora damicornis (cauliflower coral) is the source of this 871-nucleotide long non-coding RNA. Lineage: Eukaryota; Metazoa; Cnidaria; Anthozoa; Scleractinia; Pocilloporidae. The record is from RefSeq and is a predicted model, not a curated record.
GUUUGCUUUAGUUGGAAUGACAAUUGCUGCUUUGCCGAAGUGCGGGCGCUAGUCAGGCAUUGCUAUGGAUACUAUGUGUAUAAGCUGCAGCCGACAGCUUUGGAAUUCAAAGUGAAAGCCAGAUAUUGCGUAGAAAACCGAGCCAUCCCUUAUGAAGAUGCUUUGUUUUACCAACCCGUUACAAAAACUGGUGUGCAGUCAGCAUUGACAAAUCACGCGAUUCACACGGAAUAUCACGUGACAUCUUCAUGGAAGUGUAUGGCCUAUUGCCUCUCGGAGAUGACGUGUGUGUCAUUCAGCUACUUCCCCCAGAGUAACACAUGUGAGCUUAACAACAGCACUGAAUCGAGUAACCCGGAAGGUUUGAGAAAGAGACCUGGGACCGAAUAUUACGAAAAGACAAGUCAUUCAUCAUUCUUAGGUUGAGAAGCUGGUUCAAACAAGAAUGGAAUUAACCGUGAAAUUUCUAGAUGGUAAGAGAGCAAGUUUUCCUAUGCGGAACACUUUGGCAUAGAAUAGUAGUAUUUAUUGUCAAAGCUGCGAUGGAAACAGACUCAUUUGAAGCGGUGUAAGGAAAGCCCUUCAUAGGAUGUUACAUCAACACAACAUUUCACACUUUGUAAAUAUUUUUCUUUUAAUUUUCCGAGUCAGUUUUUCAUUUUUACAGUUUAGACACAGGAUAAGAGAAACAAUUGCACAUAGCAACUAACAACAAAAGUAAAGAAAUCCGAAGGUCUGGAUUAAGUUUAACUACGUUCUAUCCAAGUUUAACCAAACAAAACUCUGAAAUCGGAGUUUUUUGUUUGUUGGUAUUUUUGUCCCUCAUUUCUGGCAAGACGAAUAAAAUGUCUUCUUAUUCGACCUCUAAGAU